GUGAGAUGUACAGGUUCCUUGUUUUUGAGUCAGAUACAACACAGACACACCUGAGCGAGGAUGUCCAAUCUCUUUUUCACACUUUCUUUCCAUCAUUUUAAGGUGAAACAACAGUGACAGUCCAUUCCACCCCCCUCCUCGGCAGCGGCGCCACGGACUACACCUCCGUCACAGUGUUGUUCUGUGUUCAUCUGCAACCCAGACUACAAAUCUCUCUCGUCCUGGCAUAGACUUUUCCAGGGAGGGGUGUGAUCCCCGUAUAGUUGAAACACACCCUCUGGUCCCCCUUCUUAAAGAUGGGAAUCACCACCCCUGUCUGCCAAUCCAGAGGUACUGCCCGUGAUCUCUCCGCAACACUGCAGAGAAGUGUUAACCAAGAAAGCCCUCAGGGCGGACCUCAUCCACCCCAGAGCCUCUGCCACCAAGGAGUUAUUUAACUGCCUCAGUCACCUCAACCCACAGCAUGUCUUUAUCUUGUUUUCCUUCUCUCACCCCAACCGGUCACAGCAGAUGGCCGCCCCUCCCUGAGCCUGGCUCUGCCGGAGGUUUCUUCCUGUUAAAAGGGAGUUUUUCCUUCCCACUGUCGCCAAAGUGCUUGCUCAUAGGGGGGUCAUAUGAUUGUUGGGUUUUUCUCUGUAUCUAUUAUUGUACGAUCUACUGUACAGUAUAAAGCACCUUGAGGCGACUGUUGUUGUGAUUUGGUGCUAUAUAAAUAAAAUUGAAUUGAAUUGAAUUGAACCCAGAGAUAGGUGAGCUGUCCUCUAGCCGUCCACAGGGGAUUAAGGAGGUCCUCGACGUAUUCCUUCUAUCAGGGCCUCAGUGCCUGCCCGCUGCGCGGCACACAAUGCACCCAACCCCUACGGCGCCUCCUGCAGGUGGUGGGCCAGCAGGAGGAUGGGCCUAUGUCCCUUUUCUGGGCUGUGCCUGGCCGGGCCCCAUGGACUAAGCCCUGGCCACCAAAAGCUCACCCUCGGGCAGCCUCCCCACUGUCCCUGAUCCCUGGGACACACAAACCCCUCCAAAAUGAUAAGGUAGUGAUUUGCGGAGUGGUGCUGUAUGUAAUGUGUAAUUUUAAAUGUAAUAAAUGUCAUUUUUACCUUCCAGUGUAAAGCACCUUGAGGUGGCUGUUGUUGUGAUUCAGAGCUAUAUGAAUAAAACUGAAUCGAUUUUGCAAAUCUUCUUUUGACUGAUUUAUGAAAUAUUCCAACAAAGUAUAAUAAAAUAUUACUGAAAUGUUUUACUUCACAGGAAAGUUUACUGUUACAGAUUUAUUGAGACCAUCUAGUGUAUGUGAGUUCCAUUUAUACUCUUUGCAUGGUAACUGUGAGGUGUUUGUGCCGCAGACUGAACCUGGACCAAGAGACUAAGAAUCAGGCCAACAGCUUCUCAGCUGAAGGAUGCAGAGAGGACACUUUCCAUCAGGACAAACCAGGAUCAGAGAACCCGUGACACUCAUCUCUCUUUGAAACUAUGGCCGCUGCAGAUCCCUCAGCUGACUCUGAACUCGAGUAUUUAUGUUUAGCUCAUCUGAACAUAUGUGGUCUUAGGAAUAAGCAUCCUGACGUUGAGAAAAUAUUAACAGAUUCUAACAUUCAUGUGCUGGCGUUAACUGAAACUCAUUUAGACAACAGUGUUAAAAACUCUGAACUACAUAUAGAGAAAUUCAGGUUUUACAGGAAGGAUAGAAACAGUAAUGGAGGUGGUGUCUGUUUCUAUAUUCACGAUCACAUGACAGUUAUUCAGCGGUAUGACUUGGAUCACAAAGAUCUCGAGAUGAUCUGGGUUGAGAUUUACCUUCCAGAUACCAGACCAGUGUUAGUGGGAUGUUGUUACAGACCAUCAGGCAGCAAAAUAGAUUAUUUAAUUAAAAUCUGCAGAAAAAUAGAAAUGGUGUCAAAUGAAGACAAAGACAUUUUCCUUCUGGGAGACUUUAACUUUGACUGGUCGAAAGAGUCUACAAAAAAGACAAGGAUUGAUUUUGUCUCCUCUGUGUGUGGACUGACCCAGAUCGUAAAAAAGCCUGCCAGGGCGCACGUGACAAAUUCACGAUCCACAUCAAAAUAUAUUGAUCACAUCUACACAAAUAUUCCAGCGCUCUGCUCAGAACCAGACGGUCACCAAGUUAAAUCAAUCAGUAAUCAUAAGCUCAUCACUGCCACUGUACGAAGAAGAGUCCCCAGAAGCAGAAACUCAGAAACAGAUCCCCUCAGUGAACCCUUAAAGUCUCCUCCUGUUCUUUCUGAAGUGUCUCCAUCAGAGUUUCUUAUUAAAAAGAAGAUCAUGGAAAACAAACACUGUUCUCUUGAGUUUAGGAAAGUUGAGGAUAAGGAAGUUGAGAGGUUGAUGUCCGACGUUGAUGCUUAUGUUCUACAAGCUGCAGCUCCAUCCAUCUCUGCUCCCAUAUGUCACAUCCUGAACUCGUGCAUCCACCGCGGCAAGUUCCCAUCAGAGAAUCUUGAGAGCUGCGUAUUCCGUCCUGAUCCGAUCCUGGAGAAAGUACUCCUCCAGCAGAUGCAGGGAUACUUUUAUAACAAUGAACUUUUCACUCAUCAUCAAACUCUUGGUGACAUAACUGAUCAUUGGCUCACAGAACUGAAAAAAAAAAGAAAAGUUGGAGUUGUAUUCAUAGAUUUCAGUUCGUCCUCUGAUGUCAUCAGUCCUAAUCUGCUGCUUCCCAAACUGAAGUCUUACCAUUUCUCAGAUUCGGCCAUUUCUAUAAUGAGAAGUUUUCUCUCUGAUGGAAACAGCUGCUCAUGUCGCUGGACAGACACUCACUGUGAGAUGCCACGAGGAAGCUGCAUGACUCACUUCCUGUUCUCUGUUUAUACAAACGAUCUGAAAGUUGCUUUAAAAAGUGCUCAUGUUGUUGUGAGUAACAGUAAGCUGAUGAUGUAUCACUCAGAAAAAAAGCACCAGGAUUUACAGGAAUUGUUGAGAGAUGAAUCAGAAAUUGUGCGUGGCUGGCUCAGAGAAAACAGCAUGGUUUUAAAGACGUUCACAUCAACAGUAAUCAGAACCACGACGCAGGUGAAGAAAAUACAAACACUCCUCAGAGCCACACUCAGUGUAAAUGUGCAAGAGUUUAACUGGAUCGGAAUAUUAGGAGUUUUACUGCACGAUGCUCCUCAUCUGGUUUGGACAUCUUAAUGAAAUCUUUCUGAAAGAAAAGCUUUGGUUUGAAAAGGAAGUGCUGUACAGUUUGCUCCUCCCCCUUUUCAAUGUAAAUAUUUAUUCUCUCAUUUGAGUCUCUUCAGAAGUGGAGAAUUUUGUACUCUACCAGUCUGCACCCUGGAAGUCUGUCUGGUGAGAUAUUUCAUUAUAGAGGUGAUUUAUUAGAUUAUUAAGAAUGAGAAAAUAUUGAAAGGUUGUUGACUUUCGAAGCCAGUGUGUUUUAACUACUCUCUUCAUAUUUUAAUGGUCAUUUUAUCACUUAAUGUGCUUUUCUGUGGUUACAUAAUUUUAUCACUUUCUUUAUUUGUGCGCUUCGAAGAAGCAGUGACCAGCAGAGUGUGUGUGUGUGUGUGUGUGUGUGUGUGUGUGUGUGUGUGUGUGUGUGUGUGUGUGUGUGUGCACAGAGAAUGAAAUAAAAUAGGAAAAUGAACAUUUUGGGAUGGAUGUGAUUUUUACUGCAGUAGUCUGUUAGGGUCAGGGGUCACUGCCUCUGUUGAAUCAUGUUCCUUGUUUUUGUAAAAAAAAAUAUAUGUGCUCAUAAAAAAUAAAAAAAAAACAAC
Molecule: long non-coding RNA, 3731 nt
Organism: Astatotilapia calliptera (eastern happy)
Lineage: Eukaryota; Metazoa; Chordata; Actinopteri; Cichliformes; Cichlidae
Source: Ensembl